Molecule: unclassified non-coding RNA, 395 nt
Filed under: soil metagenome
Description: partial contains 5.8S ribosomal RNA, internal transcribed spacer 2, and large subunit ribosomal RNA
Rfam family: 5.8S ribosomal RNA (bases 1-120)
Source: RNAcentral
GAUGAAGAACGUAGCGAAAUGCGAUAAGUAAUGUGAAUUGCAGAAUUCAGUGAAUCAUCGAAUCUUUGAACGCACCUUGCGCCUUUUGGUAUUCCGAAAGGCACACCUGUUUGAGCGUCAUGAAUACCUCAAUCUCUAUCUUUUCUUCGGAUUGAUGGGUGACUUGGAUGUUGAGCCCUGCUGGUAUGCUAUAUCAGCUGGCUUUAAACUUAUUAGCCGGCUCUGUACUGGAUCGGUUUGACUCGACGUGAUAAUAUUAUCGUUGAGGAUGCAUGUCUCAUGCAGCCGGAAAGUAUCAAAGCAGCUUCUAGCUUGCCUUUAGUGCACUUUUACAUUUUAGACCUCAGAUCAGGUGGGACUACCCGCUGAACUUAAGCAUAUCAAUAAGCGGAGGA